CCCAUAGAGGUAAUAGAAGCUGAUGGCUUUCAGUACAUCCAGUAAUCCAACUCCUAGAGCCAUGCUUGAAGUUAAGUAAAACCCUUGUAGUGGUCAGCAAGUUUUGGCGAAGAUUUUGAAAAACAGGGAUACAAAGGGAACUGUGGCAGCUGAAUUCUCUUUCAUGUAUGUCCAGUCCAGGUGAAGCCCAGCAUAAUGUACUGUAAUAUGUCUCUUCAGUUCUCUGAUACAAUGACCUGUACAUCCUCUAAAUCCCCCACAGAAUGCACAGACAUAGACUGAUUGAGUACAUCAGUAGGUCUUUUUCUAUUUCAUCGGACCCUCAGUGGCCAGGCUCCUCUGCCUGUGGCUGUGCUUGGCUGGAGUUCCUAGGAGACAGCCCUAAGGAAAAAAUCAUCCUGUAUUUUCCCAAGUCACAUAGAACUUGAAAGCAGCAAAGCUUCUGUCUCCCAUAUGUGUAACAGAAGCAUUUAUGCUUAUGUCCACUUUUUGUCUGUAUUGAGUAAGAAGAUGUGAUUUGGUCUGCAGCUUGCCAAAGCCAUUAGCUGCUUGUGUAAUUCUGGGAGGUUGUCAAAGCAGUUUUGGUCUUUACUGAGGAUUCUUUAAGACAACUGCUCUGUUUGAAGUUCUUCGCUGGUUUGAAGUGCUACAACAGACUGGUGGAUUUGCGGACAGAUUUCGGGCAAGAUAUAAAUUGGUAAGAUAAGUGCAGCCUCCCAUGGGACUCUGCACACUGAACAUUGUCACAAUCACUAUUGUGGGCUGCAUCUCUACAGGCUUGUCUGCAGGAAUGCAGUAGUACUUUUGGCUGUGCCUGGAAAACAUAAACAAGCAUUUCUUCUACUAAGGAUUGUAUUUAGCAGCAGACAUUUGAUUUGCUGCAGAAUGACUGAACAGGUAAAUUAUUGAUAUAUUGAUAUAUAUAUUGAUAUAUUUAACAAUCAGAUUUUGUUAUAUGCUGAAC
RNAcentral lists this long non-coding RNA (964 nucleotides) under Coturnix japonica (Japanese quail). RNAcentral's name for it is "lncRNA (ENSCJPG00005015761.1)". Lineage: Eukaryota; Metazoa; Chordata; Aves; Galliformes; Phasianidae. The record is from RNAcentral.